RNAcentral lists this ribosomal RNA (330 nucleotides) under uncultured eukaryote. RNAcentral describes it as "partial 18S ribosomal RNA". It matches the Rfam family "Eukaryotic small subunit ribosomal RNA", at positions 1470 to 1796 of the family's 1831-position model. The record is from RNAcentral.
CCCUUAGAUGUUCGGGGCCGCACGCGCGCUACACUGAAGGAAUCAGCACGUCUUUCUCCUUGUCCGAAAGGACUGGGUAACCCGCUGAACCUCCUUCGUGCUAGGGAUUGGGGCUUGUAAUUCUUCCCCAUGAACGAGGAAUUCCCAGUAGGCGCGAGUCAUAAGCUCGCGUUGAUUACGUCCCUGCCCUUUGUACACACCGCCCGUCGCUACUACCGAUUGGAUGGUUUAGUGAGAUCCUCGGAUUGGUCCCGGAGCGGCCUCUGGUCGUGCCGGAGUGCCGAAAAGAAUGUCGAACUUGAUCAUCUAGAGGAAGUAAAAGUCGUAACA